This 497-nucleotide ribosomal RNA is filed under the name uncultured bacterium. RNAcentral's name for it is "partial 16S ribosomal RNA". It matches the Rfam family "Bacterial small subunit ribosomal RNA", at positions 28 to 507 of the family's 1533-position model. The record is from RNAcentral.
GAUGAACGCUGGCGGCGUGCCUAAUACAUGCAAGUCGAGCGAACGGACGAGAAGCUUGCUUCUCUGCUGUUAGCGGCGGACGGGUGAGUAACACGUGGAUAACCUACCUAUAAGACUGGGAUAACUUCGGGAAACCGGAGCUAAUACCGGAUAAUAUUUUGAACCGCAUGGUUCAAAAGUGAAAGACGGUCUUGCUGUCACUUAUAGAUGUAUCCGCGCUGCAUUAGCUAGUUGGUAAGGUAACGGCUUACCAAGGCAACGAUGCAUAGCUGACCUGAGAGGGUGAUCAGCCACACUGGAACUGAGACACGGUCCAGACUCCUACGGGAGGCAGCAGUAGGGAAUCUUCCGCAAUGGGCGAAAGCCUGACGGAGCAACGCCGCGUGAGUGAUGAAGGUCUUCGGAUCGUAAAACUCUGUUAUUAGGGAAGAACAUAUGUGUAAGUAACUGUGCACAUCUUGACGGUACCUAAUCAGAAAGCCACGGCUAACUACGUG